Molecule: long non-coding RNA, 462 nt
Organism: Nicotiana tabacum (common tobacco)
Lineage: Eukaryota; Viridiplantae; Streptophyta; Magnoliopsida; Solanales; Solanaceae
Source: RefSeq, a predicted model, not a curated record
AAAAAAAAAAAAAAAAAAAGCCGCACCCCCCACAACAAAAAUGCCGACACCUCUGCCUAACCAAUUGUCAAAACCGAAACACUCCCAAAGAUAUAUUACAAACACAUAGAUUUUGGAGUUUCAAUGGAGGCAAUUAGCUUAUGUAGCUUCGAAAUUCUGGAGAAUUGAAGCUCGUUUCUAUUCGAGGUUGCAAUUCCAGUUCGAAAUCAUGGUCCAUAGCUCGCUCGAGGAUUGCUUUUUCUUUGGAGAUUAUUUUGCACUGUACCCGUUGAAAAAUUUUCAGUAACAAAGGUCCAUCUUCCCCAUUGCAACUUCAUUAAUUUUGAAUGUAAUCUUAUUGCUUCUAUUCUUCUGAAGUUGUUUGUUGCUUUAAUUCCCUUGAGAUAUAUGAAUAUAGAAUCGUUGUUUUGAUUCCUUUAAGCUAAGUAUUAAUCGUGCUAUGAUGGGUGUUUUGUUGGUAAA